This 253-nucleotide ribosomal RNA is filed under the name uncultured bacterium. RNAcentral's name for it is "partial 16S ribosomal RNA". It matches the Rfam family "Bacterial small subunit ribosomal RNA", at positions 524 to 776 of the family's 1533-position model. The record is from RNAcentral.
UACGAAGGGGGCUAGCGUUGCUCGGAAUCACUGGGCGUAAAGGGUGCGUAGGCGGGUCUUUAAGUCAGGGGUGAAAUCCUGGAGCUCAACUCCAGAACUGCCUUUGAUACUGAAGAUCUUGAGUUCGGGAGUGGUGAGUGGAACUGCGAGUGUAGAGGUGAAAUUCGUAGAUAUUCGCAAGAACACCAGUGGCGAAGGCGGCUCACUGGCCCGAUACUGACGCUGAGGCACGAAAGCGUGGGGAGCAAACAGG